This 1028-nucleotide long non-coding RNA is filed under the name Heterocephalus glaber (naked mole-rat). RNAcentral's name for it is "lncRNA (ENSHGLG00100049824.1)". Lineage: Eukaryota; Metazoa; Chordata; Mammalia; Rodentia; Bathyergidae. The record is from RNAcentral.
CUCUGCAAACCUUGACAGUUUUGAGGAAUUCAAGUUUGAUAUUUUGUAUGAUUCCUAUUAUUAGAAUUUGUUUUUUCCCCCUAAGACUGGAGUUAUGUAUUAUUAGGAGGAUAACUAUGGAGAUAAAGUGGUAUUUUCAUCCCAUCAUGGCUUAUUUCAUUUUGCAUAAUUUCUUCACGAUUCAUCCAUGUUGUAGUGUGUAACAGGAAUUCCUUAAGACUGAUACUACAUUGUAUGUAUUUACCACAUUUUGUUUUUCCUUUCAGUCAGUGGACACUUGGGUUGCUUCCACACUUUCAUUAAUGUAAAUAACGCUGCUAAGAAUAUGGUUGCGCAGACACAUCUUCAAGAUCAUACCUUUAAUUCUUUUGGAUAUAUACCCAGAAGUGGAGCUACUUGAUCAUAUGGAAUUUAAAAAUAAGGAAGACUGGGCAGAGGAUUUAGCUCAGUGGUUUCGCUGCCUGCUGUGCAAGCCCAAGGACCCAAGUUUGAUCCCUGGUACCACAAAAAAAAAAAAAAAAAGGAAGACAGACAAAGAUUUCAUCAAGUCAAAACCUCUGAGGAGGGAAGCUAUUUUAACCUCAUGAACAGAGAAAAGGGCCCAAUCAUAAACCAUCCAACAGAAAGUCUUAUGAAGGAAGUUUUGCUCUGCUGAGUUGGAGAAAACAGACACAUAGAAGAAUUUACUCCAGAUUCCUCAGCUAGAGACAGUGGAAGCAGGAUUCGAAAUCAAAUGGGACUCUGACCCCUAAAGCUCCCAAAUCUCUCAAAUGGAGAUAGGAAUGUUUGCUUAAACAUUUGUUAGGCAAUCCUGAUGCUUCUUUCCCCACCUUACACCAUCAUACUGAAGAGCUACACAGCAAGAUGGUGCCUGGAAGAAACUAAGAAAACAGGUGAGAAACAUGUGGGUUAAAAGCAUAGUAGCUUAGUUUAGUUAUUAUAAGUAGGCCGUUAAAGGAGCAUGAGAUAAGGUUGGAUGGAAGAAGUAAGCAAGCAGCUAGUUAAGCAAGCAGAGACCUAAGCCAACA